This 611-nucleotide ribosomal RNA is filed under the name Phenoliferia sp. RNAcentral describes it as "partial large subunit ribosomal RNA". It matches the Rfam family "Eukaryotic large subunit ribosomal RNA", at positions 49 to 657 of the family's 3401-position model. Lineage: Eukaryota; Fungi; Basidiomycota; Microbotryomycetes; Kriegeriales; Kriegeriaceae. The record is from RNAcentral.
AGCGGAGGAAAAGAAACUAACAAGGAUUCCCCUAGUAACGGCGAGUGAAGCGGGAAGAGCUCAAAUUUGUAAUCUGGCACUUUCAGUGUCCGAGUUGUAAUCUCGAGAAGUAUUUUCCGCGCCGGACUGCAUACAAGUCUGUUGGAAUACAGCGUCAUAGUGGUGAGAACCCCGUAACUGAUGCAGAUGCCCGGUGCUUUGUGAUAUACUUUCGAAGAGUCGAGUUGUUUGGGAAUGCAGCUCAAAUUGGGUGGUAAAUUCCAUCUAAAGCUAAAUAUUGGCGAGAGACCGAUAGCGAACAAGUACCGUGAGGGAAAGAUGAAAAGCACUUUGGAAAGAGAGUUAACAGUACGUGAAAUUGUUGGAAGGGAAACGCUUGAAGUCAGACUUGCUAUUUGGAAUUCAGCCGCAAGGUGUACUUUUCAAUUCGCAGGCCAGCAUCAGUUUUUGGGGGUGGAAAAGGGUAGAGAGAAGGUAGCAGUUUCGGCUGUGUUAUAGCUCUUUGCUGGAUUCAUCCUUGGGGACUGAGGAACGCAGCACGCUUUUUGCAAGGCUUUCGAGCUUUUCGUGCUUAGGAUGCUGGUGGAAUGGCUUUAAACGACCCGUCUUGA